CCUACGGGAGGCAGCAGUGGGGGAUAUUGCACAAUGGGGGAAACCCUGAUGCAGCGACGCCGCGUGGGUGAAGAAGUAUUUCGGUAUGUAAAGCCCUAUCAGCAGGGAAGAAAGAAGACGGUACCUGACUAAGAAGCCCCGGCUAACUACGUGCCAGCAGCCGCGGUAAUACGUAGGGGGCGAGCGUUAGCCGGAUUCACUGGGUGUAAAGGGAGCGUAGACGGCCGUGCAAGCCAGGAGUGAAAGCCCGGGGCCCAACCCCGGGACUGCUCUUGGAACUGUGCGGCUGGAGUGCGGGAGGGGCAGGCGGAAUUCCUGGUGUAGCGGUGAAAUGCGUAGAUAUCAGGAGGAACACCGGCGGCGAAGGCGGCCUGCUGGACCGCGACUGACGUUGAGGCUCGAAAGCGUGGGGAGCGAACAGGAUUAGAUACCCGUGUAGUC
Molecule: ribosomal RNA, 441 nt
Filed under: uncultured bacterium
Lineage: Bacteria
Description: partial 16S ribosomal RNA
Rfam family: Bacterial small subunit ribosomal RNA
Source: RNAcentral